RNAcentral lists this ribosomal RNA (205 nucleotides) under uncultured bacterium. RNAcentral's name for it is "partial 16S ribosomal RNA". It matches the Rfam family "Bacterial small subunit ribosomal RNA", at positions 152 to 353 of the family's 1533-position model. The record is from RNAcentral.
GGAAACGAAUGCUAAUACCGCAUAAGACCACAGUGUCGCAUGGCACAGGGGUCAAAGGAUUUAUCCGCUGAAAGAUGGGCUCGCGUCCGAUUAGCUAGAUGGUGAGGUAACGGCCCACCAUGGCGACGAUCGGUAGCCGGACUGAGAGGUUGAUCGGCCACAUUGGGACUGAGACACGGCCCAGACUCCUACGGGAGGCAGCAUG